Molecule: transfer RNA, 38 nt
Filed under: Bahadzia jaraguensis
Lineage: Eukaryota; Metazoa; Arthropoda; Malacostraca; Amphipoda; Hadziidae
Description: transfer RNA Serine
Source: RNAcentral
UGAAAGCAUAAAUGUAGAGAGAACUUCUCUAAGAGUUA